CCUAUGGGUGGCAGCAGUGAGGAAUAUUGGUCAAUGGACGAGAGUCUGAACCAGCCAAGUAGCGUGAAGGAUGAGUGCCCUAUGGGGUGUAAACUUCUUUUAUAUGGGAAUAAAAUGUUCCACGUGUGGGAGUUUGUAUGUACCAUAUGAAUAAGGAUCGGCUACCUCCGUGCCAGCAGCCGCGGUAAUACGGAGGAUCCGAGCUUUAUCCGGAUUUAUUGGGUUAAAGGGGAGCGAGGGUGGGUGGUUAAGUCAGUUGUGAAAGUUUGCGGGUCAACGGUAAAAUUGCAGUUGAUACUGGCAGUCUUGAGUACAGUAGCGGUGGGCGGAAUUCGUGGUGUAGCGGUGAAAUGCAUAGAUAUCACGAAGAACUCCGAUUGCGAAGGCAGUUCACUGGACUGCAACUGACACUGAGGCUCGAAAGUGUGGGUAUCAAACAGGAUUAGAUACCCGGGUAGUC
This 460-nucleotide ribosomal RNA is filed under the name uncultured bacterium. RNAcentral's name for it is "partial 16S ribosomal RNA". It matches the Rfam family "Bacterial small subunit ribosomal RNA", at positions 338 to 795 of the family's 1533-position model. The record is from RNAcentral.